RNAcentral lists this unclassified non-coding RNA (229 nucleotides) under plant metagenome. Its description in RNAcentral is "partial contains small subunit ribosomal RNA, internal transcribed spacer 1, and 5.8S ribosomal RNA". The record is from RNAcentral.
UCUCCGUAGGUGAACCUGCGGAGGGAUCAUUACAGAGUUCAUGCCCUACCGGGUAGAUCUCCCACCCUAUGUUAUUAUUACUUUGUUGCUUUGGCGGGCCGUUAGGCUCCGGCCCGACUACCGGCCCCGGCUGGUAAGCGCCCGCCAGAGGACCCAAGACCCCGAAUAUUAGUGUCGUCUGAGUACUAUAUAAUAGUUAAAACUUUCAACAACGGAUCUCUUGGUUCUG